This is a non-coding RNA of Taeniopygia guttata (zebra finch), 47 nucleotides long. The record is from Rfam. Lineage: Eukaryota; Metazoa; Chordata; Aves; Passeriformes; Estrildidae.
CCAAAGGCUCUUUUAAGAGCCACUAAAUGCACAAUUAAAAGAGCUGU